RNAcentral lists this ribosomal RNA (497 nucleotides) under uncultured bacterium. Its description in RNAcentral is "partial 16S ribosomal RNA". It matches the Rfam family "Bacterial small subunit ribosomal RNA", at positions 28 to 507 of the family's 1533-position model. The record is from RNAcentral.
GAUGAACGCUGGCGGCGUGCCUAAUACAUGCAAGUCGAGCGAACGGACGAGAAGAUUGCUUCUCUGAUGUUAGCGGCGGACGGGUGAGUAACACGUGGAUAACCUACCUAUAAGACUGGGAUAACUUCGGGAAACCGGAGCUAAUACCGGAUGAUAUUUUGAACCGCAUGGUUCAAAAGUGAAAGACGGUCUUGCUGUCACUUAUAGAUGGAUCCGCGCUGCAUUAGCUAGUUGGUAAGGUAACGGCUUACCAAGGCAACGAUGCAUAGCCGACCUGAGAGGGUGAUCGGCCACACUGGAACUGAGACACGGUCCAGAUUCCUACGGGAGGCAGCAGUAGGGAAUCUUCCGCAAUGGGCGAAAGCCUGACGGAGCAACGCCGCGUGAGUGAUGAAGGUCUUCGGAUCGUAAAACUCUGUUAUUAGGGAAGAACAUAUGUGUAAGUAACUGUGCACAUCUUGACGGUACCUAAUCAGAAAGCCACGGCUAACUACGUG